AGCAUCCUUGGGAUUCUGUGAUCAGUCAGAUGGUGAAUGGAGACAAUGGUCACAACUCUCCCCACAGAAGGUGGUGUGAGGCCAUCACAGAAGAUGCUAAUGCUUCUGCUGCUUCUGGGGCCAGGUAUGAGCUUCCUCCUACCUGGGAGCUUGGCAGGCUCUGGGCUUGGCGCUGUCGUCUCUCAACAUCCAAGCAGGGUUAUCUGUAAGACUGGAACCUCUGUGAAGAUCGAGUGCCGUGCCCUGGACUUUCAGGCCACAACUAUGUUUUGGUAUCACCAGUCGCAGAAACAGGGCCUCAUGCUGAUGGCAACUUCCAAUGAGGGCUCCAAGGCCACAUAUGAGCAAGGCUUCUCAGAGGACAACUUUCCCAUCAGCCAUCCAAACCUGACCUUCUCAUCUCUGACAGUGGCCAGUGCCCAUCCUGAAGACAGCAGCUUCUACCUCUGCAGUGGUAGAGACACAGCGCCAGGAGGGGAUGAGAGCGCACGGCAAGAACCCCUGCAGCAGCCCUCCUCCCCAACAGGCCUGCUGAGUGCUGAGAAGGGAGGCGUGGAGGAUGGAAAACCACAGCUUUCUUGA
Callithrix jacchus (white-tufted-ear marmoset) is the source of this 582-nucleotide non-coding RNA. Lineage: Eukaryota; Metazoa; Chordata; Mammalia; Primates; Cebidae. The record is from the annotation of a RefSeq genome assembly.